This 4823-nucleotide unclassified non-coding RNA is filed under the name Hevea brasiliensis (rubber tree). Lineage: Eukaryota; Viridiplantae; Streptophyta; Magnoliopsida; Malpighiales; Euphorbiaceae. The record is from RNAcentral.
CUAAAUGCAUUUGAGCCAAUUGCCAACCAUAAAGGGUUCUUAUUUUACACAGGGUUAAAAAUUGAGGUGAGGUGAGGUAAACAAAGAGUCUAUGUAAGUGAUCAGUAGCCCUAGGUUGCUUAAAAUUCAAACAUGAAAAAUAGGAACUAGUAAGUACCACAAUCAUGAGAAAGGUUUGCCCUAGUUUCAGUGACAUUCUUCAUAUACACUCCACAAACCACAGUUAAAAGAACCAGAACUAUUAUAAGGGUUUUAAUCCUCCUUCCAUCCCUUCAAAGAUGGGAUUCCUUUAUCUCCUUUUAUUUCCAUAAUAAGGAUGGAAAGACAUCUUUCGGAUGUAUUGGUUUGGUUUGCUAAUGAAUUUGAUAUAUUUAUCCUGCAAUAAGAAUGAAUUAGGAAAAAAUAAAAUGCCAAGGACAAGGAAAGCUUUCACUAAAAUUGACACCAAUAUGAAAGGUUGGGUACAGAAUUGAUAAACAAGAAGAAUUGGUCAUGAUGACAAAUUUGAGCAAAGGGUUGGGAUUCUUUUUUUGGUUGUUAACACAACCUUUCAUAUUUUGGAUAUUCAUUCUCUUGAGCAAUAACCAUCAUUAUCUUAGGCAACAACUUCAUGGAACAGAGUUCAGGAUAAUGAGUCUGCAUUUUGUAGUGAUCUUUGAUGAUGAAACUUUACCAAAACUUGUAAUAAUAUGCUUGCAUUGAUGGCAAUGAAAUCUACUCUCAUAAAGGGCUAAAUUGUCAUCCAAAUACAUGAAAAUGAGAUGCAAGAUUGCUCUAAAUAAUUCAGAUUGAUUUAAAACCAGAAAAGACAAUAUAGCAGCAAAACCUGUCCGAGGCACUUUCACUCUUCCAAGCUUGUGGCUCAUGUAUUGCAGUCUAUAAGUAGGUGACUGACAAUGCUCAUAGUCAUAGAAAAUUGACAUAAAGAGAACUUUCAGGGAUGUAUCUCUGGGCAGUGGUACCAGUAGCCAGUAGCCAGUAGCCAGAAAGGAAAGGUGCAUAAAGGAAAAUCCAUGGCCUCAUGGUGUUUAAUCUUAAGAGGUAAAUCCAAAACCAAAUCAGUAUGUAAUCCAGGGUCCAAAGUCCAAACACAAGAAGUUCAGUUACCUUUCCUGUUUUCAAACAUCUUCCUAAAAGUGCACUAACCACAGCCACGUGACCAGCAAUUGACAAAGACAGCUUUGUAUUAAGUCAUCAUGUAAUAAAAGUAUGAACUGCCUGGCCAGUAGUCAGCAACCAAAAGGCUCUUAACUUGAUGGUGGUACCUUCCAUCCUAUUCACUACCUCGGCUUGAGCCCAAGAUCUAAAGCCUUAUUUCCAGUAUGACAAGCAGUUCUGACAACUUUAAAAGGUCAUGCUGCAUAACUAUUUCAAACAAAUGUGUGGAUGUUUAGCCAUCUAUGGAUCAUCAUCAUACGGAACAUCUGGGGCACAUGAUGACGGAAGAAUCAAGAUAGGCCUUCCAUUAUGUUGGAAUUCAGAAAGCAUGGAAGCAUAAGUUUGUUGACAGUCCCAUGUAUUCCCAGUCAAGUCCAACUGCUGAAGGUUACCUUUUGCAGCCUUUAGAGCAGAGCAUAUUAUGGUUAAGGAUUCUGCAGGCAUAAGAUUAUAAGAUGCAUUAACUACAACAAGUUCUGGAGCUGAUAACAUGAGCUUGGACAAAAAUUUUGCAGUUUCAAGCCCACCACGAUUUUUGCUUAUGUUGAUCUUGACAAGCUUCAAUUCUACCAUCAGCCCUUUUUGCAGUUCCUGAAAACCAGCUGACCCCAGUCCAAUGCCUCCAAUAUUGAGUUCACUAAUAGAUGUGGCCAAAAACUUUCCCAAAGCUCCAGCUACUAGACUGCCAAGGCCAUUAUCUGCAAGCGUGAGAGAGCACAGAGGUCUUUUCAGGGACGAAAGGGUGUCUAAAAGUUGAGUCACUCCAUCGCAGGAAAGCUCACAAUUCUCUAAUUUCAGCUCCGCCAAUCGACUGCAUCUUUCUGGAGCCUCAACAAAAUAAGGGAUCAAACAUCUGCAAAGCUAAACUGUUGUUUCAAAACUUUUGCUUACCGCGUUAAAAACGUAUAAUUGAUGAUCAACUAACCUGAUUCCUUCAUCCUCAAUGGGAUUGUCACUUAAAUCCAGAAUCUCCAAAUUAGGCAUGUAAAAAAGUGCAUAUCUAAGACUCUCCACAUCAUACUUAUGAAGAUUAUUUCCCCUGAAACCAUAUAAGGAUUUCCACAAUAAACACUCUUCAUAAUGUUAUUAAUGGUUGCUUUGUAAGGCAAUAUAUAUCUGUUGUGCCCUAAACUAAAAGGUGGUGGAAAAUUACUAUUGUCACUUCAUAUCCUGCAAUUGGAAUUAGUUGAUUAAAGACAAAUAGUUGAAAAAACACAAAAGAAAGCUUGUAGCUAUAAUGUGAUGCAACUCAUACCUUAAAUUCAGCACACAUAAAGACUGCAAAGACUUUCCCGUCCCCAAAGAUGAUGGAAGCCUGCUUGAGGAUCCCCUGUUGAAAUUAGAAAGCCAUCCUGCUAUAUUGUUGUCUGAAAGGUCAAGGAUGGAUAUUCUAGAGGAAGCAUCAAUAAGCAUAGUAAAAAGCAUCUGUGCAAAAUUUCGGUCUAGGUGGUUGUCACAAAAUCGUAAUGAACACAAGGACCUUCCCGAAGAAAGAAAUGAUACAAGGGAAUAAGAUAAAGAAACUGCAUUAUUUUCAAGGAAGCUUGAUGUCCUGAUCGAGAAGUUCUGUAUGAUGUGUGCUUGUUUCCCUUUUAUUUCUAGACAACCACAUAUUGCAUUGACAAAAGUUGAUGAAAGCUUGCAGUGAAUAAAUUCAAGUGAUGUCAAUGUUUCAUUGUUUUGAAUUAGCAGUUGGCAUAAUCCAUCAACCUGUUAGUUUUGAAUUAUAAUCAGUUAACUAACAUUCAUCAUUCAUACAAACAAAAAACUCAUACUUUAAUUAAAUUUAGACAGCUGGUAAUGUAAUUUACAACAUCACCCCAGAAGUUGCCUGGCCAUAUUAUGAAAAUGAAUGUUUUCCAUUUCUCGUAACAUAGAAUAUAAGAGCAUACACCAAUGUUUCAUAAAUGCUAUAACAUUAUAUGGUUGUACCAAGAGAUUACAUUCUAAUUUAUGAGAAGAGAGAUAAGGCAAUCUAGACAGACAUCUGGGUCCACCAAAAAUCUCAUUGCUGCAACUCUUUACAUCUUCAGUUACUGUUCUAAACAUAUAUAUAUAAUCAAAAUUCAGUGGCCUGGACAGCAGAAGCAGCAAUGUUGUUCUGUUGUCAACUACUAUACUUGUCUCAGUUUAUUUUGUUUCUCCUCAUUCUGCUUUUUAAGUUUAUUUCAGAGGUUUACAGUUUCUAAAUAACAGAUAAAGUUAUCUGUUCUGCAAUCUCCCUUCCAAACCUACCACAAUAUCCUAGAACAAAUGUUAAGAAGAACUAUGCGUACAUGUUCCUUGGAUCUGAUCCACCGCAGUGAUAAACUUUGCAAUUUGCUGUUUCUCAGUAAUUUCUGCAACAGAAAAGAAGCAAUUAAUAUCAGGCCACUUAUCGUUCUUGUACAAUGCAAAUGUACAGAAAAAAACAAGUAGUAUGAGAUGAAUGCAAGUAAAUGUACAAGAAUGCAACAAUACAGAAGCGGAAAGAAAGAAAAAAAAAAACUUUUAAACUUGUUCCAGAGAGCUUAUUGAUGGGAAAAUACAAAAUCAAAUUCCAACUGAAAAUUGAACCUUGUGCAUUCAUGGAACUACAUUCUAGGGGGCAUAAAAAGGAUAUAUCUAGAUUUUCACCCAGAAAAACAUGGGAAUACAAAGAUUAGAUGGUUUAGUGAAAAUAGCAAUAAUAGCAUUAGCGUGCCUUGCAAACCUUUGAAAACCCCUCCUACAGAUGUUGGCAGAAGACAUCCCCAGUUGCAAAUAAAUCGCAUCUCUUUUUAAGGGUAUUCAAAUUGGCAACUUUCAGCUUGCAUGAAUGUGAACAAGAGCCAUAGUGCAUAUGCCAGUAAAUCCACUCAAAACAACAUAUUUCAGCAGAUGUAGAUAACAAAAUUUGAUGAUGAAGUAAUUGGUGGUUUAAAAACAUACACAAGUUUCUGCAACACACAGCACAUUUUGAAGUCUCAGAGAUCUAGCAUAGUGCCCAAAUUGUUGGAAGUGGUAAGAUAAUUUCAAAUAGAUUGAAUGAUUCAAAUGCCCUUCACAACCAAUGCAUAUCAAUAUAUCAUCUGAAAUUUUUAUCUCUCCUAUACAUCCAUCAAAUGACGGGAUAGAUGCUAAUGCUGCAGCUUCAUCAAGGCAACUGUGUCUUUCAAGUUAAUAUAAGAACACUACAAAUGAACAAACGCAAAAAAGAAGAGGAAGCAUGUGAUUCAUCCAACAAUGUACUUUUGCAAAUGUGUUUGCCAAUACAUAUGCUGCCAGUGAACUAGCUCAGGAUGGUCAACAAGCCGAGGCCAGCGCUGCUUAAAUAACUUCUUCCAUGCUGUACUGAAGUUAUCACUUCUUCCACGCUUAGUUCCAACUUUUGGGGAACCAUCAGUACACUCAUAAUCAUCCGAGUUCUCAUAUGGCAUUUCAGCUUGUAACUUGUGCAAAGCCAAGGGAGGUAAUUUUGUGACCAAGAUAUCAAAUAAAUGGGAAGGAAGCUCAUAUAUAUCAGGCAAAACACCAUCUCCGCAAAGGAGCUGUCUUUUGAUUGCCUCCAUGCCCAGAGAGAUUAAAGAUGGAACUUCUGCCAUUUUUCGAGCUUGUAAUUAGGGUGUGAGUAUCUAAAAUGAAGACAAUAGUAGCAGUUUUCUGAGUUGGAGUUCGAGUCAAUUAGGGCGUGGAACAAAGGAGAU